This is a non-coding RNA of Ceratotherium simum simum (southern white rhinoceros), 112 nucleotides long. NCBI's taxonomy places the organism in Eukaryota, Metazoa, Chordata, Mammalia, Perissodactyla, Rhinocerotidae. The record is from RefSeq and is a predicted model, not a curated record.
AAUAGCAGCAGAGCAUUGUCUGAUAUAGCACCAGAAGAUGAGAGGAUGGUGCAAAAAGACCUGGUAGGGUUCUGCUCUUCUGUACACAGGGUCACAAGGAACUGAUACUGAU